GACGAACGCUGGCGGCGUGCUUAACACGUGCAAGUCGAACGGUAAGGCCCUUCGGGGUACACGAGUGGCGAACGGGUGAGUAACACGUGGGUGAUCUGCCCUGCACUUCGGGAUAAGCCUGGGAAACUGGGUCUAAUACCGGAUAGGACUCCGGACUGCAUGGUCUGGGGUGGAAAGCUUUUGCGGUGGGGGAUGGGCCCGCGGCCUGUCAGCUUGUUGGUGGGGUGAUGGCCUACCAAGGCGACGACGGGUAGCCGGCCUGAGAUGGUGACCGACCACACUGGGACUGUGAUACGGCCCAGGCGCGUACGGGAGGCAGCAAUGGGGAAUAUUGUAGAAUGGGCGCAAGCCUGAUGCAGCGACGCCGCGUGAGGGAUGACGGCCUUCGGGUUGUAAACCUCUUUCAGCACAGACGAAGCGCAAGUGACGGUAUGUGCAGAAGAAGGACCGGCCAACUACGUGCCAGCAGCCGCCGUAA
RNAcentral lists this ribosomal RNA (478 nucleotides) under uncultured bacterium. RNAcentral describes it as "partial 16S ribosomal RNA". It matches the Rfam family "Bacterial small subunit ribosomal RNA", at positions 28 to 523 of the family's 1533-position model. The record is from RNAcentral.